RNAcentral lists this ribosomal RNA (59 nucleotides) under Fusarium proliferatum. RNAcentral describes it as "partial 28S ribosomal RNA". Lineage: Eukaryota; Fungi; Ascomycota; Sordariomycetes; Hypocreales; Nectriaceae. The record is from RNAcentral.
UUGACCUCGGAUCAGGUAGGAAUACCCGCUGAACUUAAGCAUAUCAUAAUCGGAGGAAA